RNAcentral lists this unclassified non-coding RNA (411 nucleotides) under Hevea brasiliensis (rubber tree). The record is from RNAcentral. Lineage: Eukaryota; Viridiplantae; Streptophyta; Magnoliopsida; Malpighiales; Euphorbiaceae.
UUCUUCUUCUUCUUCUCCUUCUCCCUCUUGUCACUCCAAUUCAAUCUUGCCGUCGAUUGGAGGACUGGAGACUCCAUUCUGGGACAAGAAUUUGAUAUGGGUGUGGAUAAAAUCGAAGGACUGAAAGACAAAGGAGUACGUUCAACGUUAGGGCAUGAAGAAGAUAACUUAGUGAGAGAAGAAUUCUGGACGCUGAAGGGCAUGAGGUCAAGGGUGGCAUUAAUGCUGGCCAAGCAAAUAUCACAAUUGCAAUUGGCAUCUUUUCUGCAACCGGGAUAGUAGCAGCUAUCUCUCUCUUCCAUGGCGACCAUGGUGGUGCUCGAUUUCACUGAGGAUGAUGCAGUUGCUUGGUAUGCUUUCAUGGCUGAUUUUUAUUUUGUGUUUGUGUGCAUCUGUGUUGUUCUGCCAUAC